ACUCCUACGGGAGGGCAGCAGUGGGGAAUAUUGCACAAUGGGCGCAAGCCUGAUGCAGCCAUGCCGCGUGUAUGAAGAAGGCCUUCGGGUUGUAAAGUAACUUUCAGCAGUGAGGAAGGCGGGUACGUUAAUAGCGUGCUUGUUUGACGUUAGCUGCAGAAGAAGCACCGGCUAACUCCGUGCCAGCAGCCGCGGUAAUACGGAGGGUGCGAGCGUUAAUCGGAAUUACUGGGCGUAAAGCGCAUAGCAGGUGGUUUGUUAAGUCAGAUGUGAAAGCCCGGGGCUCAACCUCGGAAUUGACAUUUGAAACUGGCAGACUAGAGUACUGUAGAGGGGGGUAGAAUUUCGAGGUGUAGCGGUGAAAUGCGUAGAGAUCUGAAGG
RNAcentral lists this ribosomal RNA (382 nucleotides) under uncultured bacterium. RNAcentral describes it as "bacterial SSU rRNA". It matches the Rfam family "Bacterial small subunit ribosomal RNA", at positions 335 to 704 of the family's 1533-position model. The record is from RNAcentral.